GUUCCCAGGCCAGGGGUUGAAUCAGAGCUGCCAGCCUAUGCCACAGCCACAGCAAUGCCAGAUCUGAGCCAUGUCUGUGACCUACACCACAGCUCAUGGCAAUACCAUAUCCUUAACCCACUAAAGGAGGCCAGAGAUCAAACCCCCAUGCUUGUGAAUACUAGUUGGGUUUGUAACCUGCUGAGCCACAGCAGGAACUCUCAGUAGUGAAUGAUGUAGCUUUCAGGCAAAAAUGGAUUCAGGUGCUCUGAUAAUGUCACUAGUAUGUCCCGUCCUGACUUUCCAAUCUGCUUCCCUCUGAGUAGGUUUCAUUCUUAGGCUGAGCCCCUUGGGGGACAAAGAUGGUCCCCAGCAGCACCAGUUGUACACUGUCCAGCUAGCGAACCCAGAGGUGUGGGCGUCCCCUUCCCAGGGGUUCCCACAGAAGCCCCAGAGCUGAUGCUCUCUGGCCCAGAAUGAGUCACACACCCAUGCCUGAACCAGCCCCUGUGACUCUGAUGGCCAGGCCAGGGUGGCACAGCAGCCUGACUCAGUGAAGGGGAGUUUGGCACAGGAAACAGCACAAGCAAAAAGCCCAGCCACGUUAAGCUGGAACAGCAGACACAAAGUUCCCUGCUGCUUGGCAAUUCUCGGACAAAGGGCACCAUCUGAAAGGUGUGAUCAGAUCUGCAAUUUGCUGGGCAGCUGGUAGUGGGUCGCUUGGGGAGAGUGGUGACAUUCAGGCCCUCUAGCAUGUUCUCCAAGAAAGAAUGUGCCUCAAGAAGUACCUCCCCCCAGGCCCUUCUUCCUGCCAAAGAGUCCCUUUUCCAGAGAGCAGAAGCUGGUGUGCUCAGUGUUUCAACACAAAUGCCUGGGGGAGGGCUUGCCUGCUUGUCCUGGGUCAUUUGCAAAAAUGAAAGCAAAUCUAUAUAAUCAGUUGCCAGAAAAGUACUUAACUGGCCUGUAUUCAUUCUGCACCAGGAGAGCUGAGAGCUGCAGGACAGAAUGGUCUCACUCCUGUCACAAAACCCCAUUCUGGGCCAGCCCCAGGGCCUGGGGAUUCUCCAGAACUUAACCCCCAGCCUUUCUGCCCUAGCCAGCCCACAAGCAGCUGGAGGGUGGUUGCUGGCAUUGUCUCCUGGACCCCUGAGGGCUGGGCUGGGCCAUGCUGGGAAGUGGUCUGGGCAUUCUGAGGGUCAGGAAUGGCCUUCUCUUAUGUGGCCCCCACAUAACCUCUCCCCAAACCACUCCUCCCCACUGCCUGGGGUUUUGAAUGCAGUUCCCACCUCUUUCUGGCUGGGGUAGGCAGUGUGAUUUUGUCAUGAGCAGCUAGCCACAUGAGGCUGAAUCCCGACUGUGUGGGCAAAGAACUGGUAGCAUGGCUUUCCCCCAGAGUAGGGCUGCUUGGUGCUGGUCUGCACCUGCCUCUGGAGCAGGACAUGGAGCAGAGGGAGAUGUGGGGAUUAGUUACAGUGCUUUCAGCUGCAAGGAACAGAAGGCCCACCUCAAAGGGGCUUAAACAAGAAAGGAGAUGUGCCUCCUGUGCACAGAAGCCCCAAGGUAGGACAGCCCAGGACUGCUCAGUACUGCAGGGGUAUCAAAAGAGACCCAAGCUUCUCUCCCCUUUCAUGCUGCUCACUUCAGUGAGCCAGUUCUCAGGCCAGCUUCCCUCAUGAUCACAAGAUGGCUGCCAUGGUUCUGGCCAUCACAUCCAGCAGGGGAUAGCAUCCAGCAAAGGAGAUCACCUCUUCCUGGACAUGCCUAUUGAAGAGUGAGGGAACUUACCCCAGAGUCACCCUCAUUGAUUUUCUGUCAUGGCUCACUGGACAGAAUUACAUCACACACCCAUUCUUGGUCCAUUUCUAGCAGAGGACACAGGAAAACCACAACGGGCUUACAUGGACUCCCCUGUAGCACAGGAUUCUAAUACUCCAGCAGCAUCUGCUGCACCAGGACAAGGAUGUUCUUCUCACUCAGAGAUAGUGGAGAAGGGAUUGGAAUUCUAGUCCUGUUUUCUCCACCAGUUACUGUCUGACCCUAGAUAAGUCAGGUCCCCUAUCAGUCCCUUACCCGCAGGCAUUCUCUCCUCACAUCUUGCCAAUACAACUCAGAUUUGGCUUGGUGGCAAUAUGCCCAGCCAGGGAAUGGAUCAUGAUUGUGGAAACAGUUGUGGCAACACCUCUGCCCUUUGUUAACUACUUGCCUGGACAGCCUCCACUACAACUCGGGGUAACCAUGGGACCCCAGGCAAGGAGAAAGAAAGAGGACUUUUCUAGAAUCCUUCCGGGAAAGAUUGUUCUCCCCUUUUCUCUCCUCUUUUCUUUCAACUUUCGCACACCAUCAAAUGAGGAUGUGAUGUUUGGAGCUUUGGCAGCCCUCUUGCCAAUGAGGGACAUACCAAGAAACUCUCAGACCCGCCAACCUCAUGCUUUGGCAGUAUGGGGCUCUGGGACAGUCUUAGGACCACAUAGAUUUGUUAUGGAAGUGAAAUAGACUCCUGUUGAAUUAAGCCUCCAUUAUUUCAAUUUUCUUUACUUGCAGCCAAGCAUACCCUAACUGAAACAGAGGCCCGUCUCUUCAUCAGUAACAUGAAAAGAAUGGUUCUGAUGAUGGCGGUCAUUAUCCUCUGGGCUCUCAUGCUCUGUGAUGACGACUCCUCCUAGAAUUCACCCACCGGGUCCCUGAGGAAAACCAGGUUCCUGCUAACUUUCCAUCUGCCCUUGAAAACCUGAGAGGACAACAUGGUGAGAUUGGAAGCAUCCCUGAGCCUUUUCCUAUGCUACCGGGAAACUCCAUCCUUUGGGACCAAAAUUCCCAAAGGACACAGGUGAGGAUCAGUUAAAAUGAUAGAACAUAGAAACCUGAGAACAGUGUCUUAAGCGUAUAGAGUUUGAGAGUUUUUUCCUGAAGGAAUAAGCAGUCCAGAGUUCAAGAGGCCACAGUUGGUCAAGCUGCUAGGGCUGGAAUGAAGUUACCAGGGACCAGGGUCCUUUCAGCUUCACCAUCCUCAGCAGGAGCCACGUCCUCAGGGGCACACGGCAGCUGAUGCCCCAGAGAGGAAUAAGAGGAAGGUGAAGGGCAAAGCUGGAAAGGUCUUCGAUCUGCCAGGAAAGCAGCAGCCAUCCAGGAAAGUCCCACUCGAGGGCCAUCUGUCAUCCUGGGUUCUAUAGCCAUCCUCAGCUUUGAGGGAGAGGAAGGGGAGAGUGGCCAUUGGGGAGACAAUUAGCCACAUGCACCACCAGGCUUGAGGUCAGAAGACCUGGGACUCAGCCCAGCACUGCUUUCUGCCACCUUCUGUGAUCCUGGUGCUCAGUUAAUGGUCUUGAGUCUCAGUGCAUCUCCCAGCACAAAGAAAGAGGCCCUAUGUCAAGUAUCAAAGCCACAGGUGGCCAGUGACUACUGCAUUGGAUGGCACUGGCCUAGUGGCUGUACGACUGGUUGGUAGAGUGGCAGCUGCUGGCAUUAGCCAGAACAAGGAUUCAUCUGGGAGAGAGACAAGCAAAACUGCCAAGCCCUGCUCAGCUGUGGCUGUAAGACAGCUGAGAGUCAAGUUCUCUCCCAAUCAGGGAUCCUCCCUGGACAUAAGGCCAUCUUGACUGUGUUUAUGCAUCUUAGAGUCCAGAGCUGGGGGCUCUGUCCUAGUGGGCAGGAAGGACCUAGAGAAGAGGAGUUGUGGCCACUUUUGGGGGUGGAUAGUAGCUUCUUGGGCUGAGGGUGGAAGAGUCCCAAAGGAACAUGUGAAGACUAAGAAGGAAAUUUUAAAAGCCUGCGCCCAGAGAACAUUCUGACUCUAAAGAGUCAGGUGAGCUCAGACCAGGGAGCCAACUACGGACAGAGUGGGGAAAAGGCUUCAUAUUUGGAAAAUGAACAGAAACGGUUGCACAGGCUUUGGACACAGAGCAUCGGAAACUCCAGGAGGAAUGAAAUCAG
RNAcentral lists this long non-coding RNA (3909 nucleotides) under Sus scrofa (pig). Its description in RNAcentral is "lncRNA (ENSSSCG00050013279.1)". The record is from RNAcentral. Lineage: Eukaryota; Metazoa; Chordata; Mammalia; Artiodactyla; Suidae.